Molecule: ribosomal RNA, 305 nt
Filed under: uncultured bacterium
Lineage: Bacteria
Description: bacterial SSU rRNA
Rfam family: Bacterial small subunit ribosomal RNA
Source: RNAcentral
CCUACGGGAGGCAGCAGUGAGGAAUAUUGGUCAAUGGUCGGGAGACUGAACCAGCCAAGCCGCGUGAGGGAGGAAGGUACAGAGUAUCGUAAACCUCUUUUGUCAAGGAACAAAGACUGGGACGCGUCCCCGGAUGAGUGUACCUGAAGAAAAAGCAUCGGCUAACUCCGUGCCAGCAGCCGCGGUAAUACGGAGGAUGCGAGCGUUAUCCGGAUUUAUUGGGCGUAAAGCGAGUGCAGGCGGUUCAAUAAGUCUGAUGUGAAAGCCUUCGGCUCAACCGGAGAAUUGCAUCAGAAACUGUUGAA